UAUGUAUACUUUCAUUUCACUCAAAUGGUUCACCAUAUGGAUAACAUCAUAGCUUUCAAUUGAAUUCUGUGUUAGAGAAAACAUCAAAUUCAUUAUAUACAUAACAUCAUAGCUUUCAAUUGAAUUCUGUGUUAGAGAAAACAUCAAAUAAUAGAUUGCCAAAUUGUGUUUGUAUCUCAUUCAUAUACGCAAAUUUCACCCAUUUUCCCAAUCAAAGGGAAAAAGGAAAAUAUUUACAAGAUGCCUAUAUUCUACAAAAUCUCAAUACUAAUCUAUGUUACUCUCUUGCAGUUGCACAUUUAUAGACCAUUCAAGCUACAAGUAAUAUGCAAGAAACACAUGUUCCGUGCAAGGAAUUGUGACACCGCCCAUUCGAUGAUCAUAUCUGAAUUCUUCUUUUAAUGAUGAUGUUUGGCUAUUGCUAAAUGAUGCCCGUCUUAUAGCUGCAGGUAAACGGAAACCCAUUUCAAAUGUUUUGAACAACAAACAAUCUAAAGCUCUCAAAAUUUAUGGGAAAAAAAAGGUAUCUAUCUUUUGAUGCUUGAGUAAGUAAGUGAUUUGUGAAUGUGAUGGAUGUGAAGGAAAGUUGUGUAUUUUUAUAGUCUUCAUUCGAGAGUUUCUUGAAAUCCUCUUCUCUGUGAAAUUAAUUAUUGUUAAAGAAUGGUGUCCAUGAGAUGAGAGAUCCACAUGCUAUUGUCUUUUAAUGUCUCUCCAUCACUUUCUCAAUAAAAGGAUUAACCACUUGGAAGUCAAUUUGCUACUCAUACUUUUGUAGACAUGUCACAUGUUCUCUUCAUAUCGAUAAUGCGCUUCAAUACCCGUAUAUAGCUACCCACCAAUAAUUCUCUUGUUAGCGUGUAUUAUAAUGGUUAGUUGGCUACAAAUCUUCAAUAUUAGGGAGGCUACAUUGAACACAUAUAGAGGGCUUGGUCAUUAGUCAUGCUGCUGACCAGAAGGUACAUAGCAAUUGAACAACAGUUCCAAAAAGAGAUAAGUAUAUGUUUGGAGUUUGGACCCACAACUACCAGUAACAAAAAUAUGCUAUUCUGAAUAUUCAAUUUCAAGUCAACAGUCCUAUAUAUCUGCAGUCUUCUGAAUAUGUCUAGCAGCAACUCCGCUGUCCAAUGAUUUGUUUUCUGCAUAUAAGAAUAAUUAGCCAGUAGAACCUUCUUAAUUCAUGAAAUUCUCUUAGGAAUAAUUAGCUUGUAGGAUAAGGCACGACGUUUUUUCCUACUCAAGUAUCAGGAGCCAUGAAUAAGUGCCAAACUAGGUUACUGCUGCUUUCAAGUAUCAGACCAUGUCAAGUUCUCCGUUUAAAACCGAUAAGAUAUACAAGGAAACAGCAGGCUAAUCAAGAGAUCAUUGCAUAGACUGGACGAGUUUCUAGCCUUUAGGAACUUUCAAAUUUCUAAAUGAGAUGAGAUUAUUUGAUACUUGAAAUUCAUGUUUUACUACUAUUCUUUUUGUAGAUUAUGGCUGUUAGUGGGAGACUUUUCAUAAUUUGAUGGGAUUGGCUUCUGUUUUAAAAUCUAACUAAUUGUGUGUCUAUGAUAUUAAUACAUGCUAUGUGCAGACUCUAUUUAGUCAUGCAGCAGACUCUGUUUAGUCAUGCAGUUCAGCCCCCGAAACAUGUGAGCUGAAACUUUUAUUGUCUAGUUAGUCUCUUCACUAAAAGUAUAUUUUUAAUUUAAGUGAAUACUCCAAUGCAAGCAGUUCAUGUCUUCAUGAUAAUCUUUUGAUUAGAAAAAUACAUAAUAAUAUACACUUUUAUGAAUGGUGGAGGAUGCUAGGAGCUUAAAGUAAAGGGUUGCCUCUAACUGAGUGCAUCUGCUGAUUGAGUACACAGGAAGGUCCUUGCGAUUUCCGUCUCUACCACCUUCGUUAAACAUCAAAGGAAAAAUGCAACAUACAAAAUUAUUGUAUCUAUUGCACAUUGAAGCGAGAAGUAAUAUGCAAGAAAACAUCUUCCGUGCAAGAAAUUGUGAGGCCGCCCAUUGGAUGAUCAUAUCCAAACUCCUCCUCUGCUUGACUCAAUAAGUUUUGAAAUGAAGUUUGGUUCAAAUAUGACACGGGGAUAACAAACCGCUUCCUUUCCUCUCCGACGUACACUGCAAGAUACCCCUUUGGCACAUUCAAUGCUUUUGAGGAUGUUUGGAUACUGCUAGGUGAUGACCGUCUAAUAGCUGCGGGUAAACGAAAACCCAUUUCAAAUGUUUUGAAGAAAAAACUGAAUUUCUCAGAUGUAAGAAAAAUGUAUCUGUGUUUGAUUGCUUGAGUGAUUUGUGAUGGUUGUGAGAAGGACACUAUAUUUAUAGUUUCCAAGAGUUUCUUGAAAUACCUUUGCUAGAGAAAUUAUUUAUAUAAUGAUGGGGGCCAUGAGAUGAGAGAUCACAUGGUGUUGUCUUCGACGCCUUUGUCAAAGAUCGACUAGUUCGAUAAGAGUGCCAACCACUCCUUCUUAAUGAAAGGCUCAUAACUCUGCUUGUAUGAUGCCUACUCAUUUCUUUUCAGACAUGCAUCAAACAUGGCACAUGUUAUCUUCACAGUGAUCACAUAAUGUUGAUAUCUUAAGUGAAGAAUUUUGAGAAA
This is a long non-coding RNA of Vicia villosa (hairy vetch), 2589 nucleotides long. RefSeq lists it as uncharacterized. Lineage: Eukaryota; Viridiplantae; Streptophyta; Magnoliopsida; Fabales; Fabaceae. The transcript has 2 exons. The record is from RefSeq and is a predicted model, not a curated record.